UGGGGAAUUUUGGACAAUGGGGGAAACCCUGAUCCAGCCAUCCCGAGUGUGCGAUGAAGGCCUUCGGGUUGUAAAGCACUUUUGGCAGGAAAGAAACGUCAUGGGUUAAUACCCCGUGAAACUGACGGUACCUGCAGAAUAAGCACCGGCUAACUACGUGCCAGCAGCCGCGGUAAUACGUAGGGUGCAAGCGUUAAUCGGAAUUACUGGGCGUAAAGCGUGCGCAGGCGGUUCGGAAAGAAAGAUGUGAAAUCCCAGAGCUCAACUUUGGAACUGCAUUUUUAACUACCGGGCUAGAGUGUGUCAGAGGGAGGUGGAAUUCCGCGUGUAGCAGUGAAAUGCGUAGAUAUGCGGAGGAACACCGAUGGCGAAGGCAGCCUCCUGGGAUAACACUGACGCUCAUGCACGAAAGCGUGGGGAGCAAACAGG
RNAcentral lists this ribosomal RNA (429 nucleotides) under Acidobacteriota bacterium. RNAcentral describes it as "Acidobacteria bacterium partial 16S ribosomal RNA". It matches the Rfam family "Bacterial small subunit ribosomal RNA", at positions 355 to 776 of the family's 1533-position model. Lineage: Bacteria; Pseudomonadati; Acidobacteriota. The record is from RNAcentral.